Molecule: ribosomal RNA, 253 nt
Filed under: uncultured bacterium
Lineage: Bacteria
Description: partial 16S ribosomal RNA
Rfam family: Bacterial small subunit ribosomal RNA
Source: RNAcentral
UACGUAGGGUCCGAGCGUUGUCCGGAAUUACUGGGCGUAAAGCGCGCGCAGGCGGCUUCCCAAGUGCCACGUGAAAGCCCCGGGCUCAACCCGGGAGGGUCGCGGCGAACUGGGAGGCUUGAGGCCGGUAGAGGUGGGUGGAACUCCUGGUGGAGUGGUGAAAUGCGUAGAGAUCAGGAAGAACACCCGUGGCGAAGGCGGCCCACUGGGCCGGUGCUGACGCUGAGGCGCGAAGGCGUGGGGAGCGAACGGG